Molecule: non-coding RNA, 82 nt
Organism: Fusibacter sp. 3D3
Lineage: Bacteria; Bacillati; Bacillota; Clostridia; Eubacteriales; Fusibacteraceae
Source: Rfam
CACCGAUAACGGCAAACUAUUGGAAACAAUAGGACGCAAAGCUAAUGGGCCUUAACACUAGAAUGGCAGCCAAGCUACCGAA